CUGUUUUCCCUUUUGUUCUGCUGAUGAUUGAGAUUUUUGAGAAAGAGCAGAAUGGGAUUUAGAAUGAGGUGAAGAAGAGUUGGAAGAAUUAGCAGAAUUAGAUGAGAUAGAAUGAGAGGGCUUAGAUUGAGAUGACUUCUUGGCUAGAGACUCUAGGUGACCCUUUUGCUUUUGAUCAUUUGUGGGACUGACCUUAGAGUUUUGAUCUCUUUUGAUUUCAGAACUGAACCUUUGCUUUCGGUUGGUUUCCUUCUCUGAACCGAACCUUUGCUUUCAGUUGGAGUUAUUCUCAGAACUGAACCUUUGCUUUCGGUUGGUUUCCUUCUCUGAACCGAACCUUUGCUUUCGGUUGGAGUUAUUCUCAGAACCGAACCUUUGCUUUCGGUUGUUGUGGCUCUCGUGCAUUUCAACAGGAUUUUUCUCAUACUUCAGGUUCUUGUCUUGAUGAGAGAAAUAAGCAUUCUGGGAUUGCCAGAACUGUUUUC
This 485-nucleotide long non-coding RNA is filed under the name Lactuca sativa (garden lettuce). Its description in RNAcentral is "long non-coding RNA (LSAT_LNC004161)". The record is from RNAcentral. Lineage: Eukaryota; Viridiplantae; Streptophyta; Magnoliopsida; Asterales; Asteraceae.